Long non-coding RNA from Brachypodium distachyon (stiff brome), 3068 nucleotides. RefSeq lists it as uncharacterized. NCBI's taxonomy places the organism in Eukaryota, Viridiplantae, Streptophyta, Magnoliopsida, Poales, Poaceae. The record is from RefSeq and is a predicted model, not a curated record. The transcript is spliced from 2 exons.
CCCCCCCACCCCGCCGCGUGUCCCGAUGGCGCGGUCGCCGGCUCACCGCUCCGGCCCGGCCCCUGCGCAUCAUCGUCUUCCGCUCCUACAUAGGCCUCCAAUCCUACCUGGUAGGGAAUUAAUGGACACUUCGCGCCCUCGCCCAGAUCUGCCGCGUUUGGCUGGCUCUGAUCGGUGGCUCCUAUGCAAUUGGUGAUCAGCUGCUGCAGUGUUUUGUUCUGAAAUUCUAAUCUCCCUGUCACCUCGAAAUGUCUGAUCCCCAGCCACCUCCAGGCAUGCAAGUUCUAAAAUUCUAAUCUCCCUAUCUGUAGUGCUUUGUUCUACGAUUGCCCUGUGGUGGCGUGCGUGGUUUGUGUUCUUAAUACAGAAGGAGGCAGGAUAGUUUGUUGCACCGAGGAUUGUUUAGAAAACAGAAAUUGUAAUCUUAUUCUUUUUACUGCUAUGUUUGUUACAUGGAGACGAUCAGGAUGUUGACAUGGAGCAGCAGCAGCCAAGCGACCAUUCUUCUGAUUUUGACCCCAAUAUUUCUGUUGCAUAGAGCAGCAGCCUUCUAUGGAUCCAUGUCUCAUGUCCUAUGUACUGAACUAUUGAUACACUACUGUUGUCUCUCUCCAAUUUAUGUAUUUACUGCUGCCAUAAUUUUUAUUUUUCACAAAGCCGCUAUCUGACAUAGCUGCGCUAUAGCUCCGCUGUAGCUGUUUAGCUGUUUGAAAAAUGUCGCUGUACUGCAUAGCCCGCUAUUUAAAAUCAUGAUGCUGCAUAAGUUAGGAAGUACUAGCCUUUUGGAGUUGUUCGUUAAUAGGUAUUUACAUGCUUUUCACUGGGAGACAGACUUUGUGCAAUUUUAGAAAUUUUAGAACCUAGGUAUUCAACAUCCAUCAUGCUCUUAUCCAUACAAGCAGUGCAAAUAAAAUGGACCUGACUCUCCCAUUCUUUCUUCUACAAAUCAGGAGUGCUUUUUUUUUCUAAGGCUGAUCAUGAAAUUGUUACUAACUCUGAAGGUAAUAUUCUGAAUUUGAUGCAGUCGGAUGCCCGAUCGAUCUUUGUUCAUAGCAACCAGUUUUAAGCUCUGCCAUUUUGUGUGAAUGAUGUUGUAUUUGACAAGGUGGACAAGGGCUGCUGAUCCAACUAUGAAGCCUUAACAAUAAAGGGACUUACUAUAGCUAAAAUGACAUAUGUGGAGAAGGGAGUAAGGUUUAUUGCUGAAAAGAACCAGGUUGGACAUUAUUACUCUACCAAGGUUCGUGCCUCAUUGGAUCUUCUAAGCUGCACUACUGCAAUAAACUUAUUGUCUUGUUUGAUUCCCAAAAUUUGAAAAUUGGUUGAGCUUCAGCUAUGCAAUUGUGCAUCCUUAAAACUGAAAAAUGCUUCAGCUUCAUUAAUUGCUCGGUAGUCUCCCAAAAUUAUAUCAUAUGCUAUAACUUCUCUGUUCGACGCACAAGGCAAUAUCAUUAUAGAACCUAGGGAGGUUUGCAGCCCGUCUGCAUGCCCAAAGUAUACUAACCAUAAUCUGCAUAACAAAUCAACUAGAGUGGCCAAUGGUGAGAUGGGCAUCUUCCUCCAUGGGACUCCAUGUCAUUGUAAUAUUUCCGUAAUGUUUCUUCUCCGAGUCCUUUUAUAUGAAUACUUCCUAUAUACAACACAAUUGUAUUUAUUUCUCUAAGUUAAUUGAAAGGCUCCUUGAUUCUAAACAAAUCAUUUUCCUAUGGUUGAUCAAUGCUUUUGAUGCCACUACAACAAUAUGACUAUCAACACGAAUGCUUUUGUUGUGAAUUCUUUUUUGUGUUUCCCUAAGAGUGACAUUGUGUACCAAGAUGUCUUGGAGUUUUCAAACAGGUAUUCCGCAUUCAGAAUAGGGAGAACACAGUUCAUCUCCUUAUAAUUGAACUAAGACUAAUGUUUUUGCUUCUCUUAUUUUGUAUUUAAUUAAUCUGCAGCCAGCUAUUGGAGUAAGAGAGAGUACAUGCACAUUAUAUUCAACAAAAGGAGAUCAGAGAGUACAUGCACAUUAUAUUCAACAAUACGUAUUCCAACAGAAAAAAUGAAUAUGGAUAAAGGUAAAUAUUUAAAGCCUGAUGAAAUAUCACCCCCACUGCUUCAAGUAAUUUAGCUUGCUUAAUUUUUUAGGGAAGAGUUCAUUGAUUUGAUUCGGCAAUAACUGCUUAUUGAGAAAAAUCUGACUUGGAUAAGGACCCCUCUGCUCUGUCUGAAUCCUGUUUUGACUGUUCAUAUAUUAUCACUGUUGGCUUCAGACUUUCAGUUGCCAAAAAAUCACAUCAUUCGAGGCUAACUGGCAUAUAGAGAAUUAGCAAUUUUGUGCUUGCGGUCAUUCAGUACCUGAGUAAGGACCUAAUAGCUAUCUUAAAUGUGUGCAGUCCCUUUAUUUUUCUGUCUUAGCUUGCUAGCUGCUUCUAAAUUCUGAGAGUUGAAUGCAUCUAUGAAUUGGCAAUGCAUAGUGAACUCCUUCAUGUUCAUCUGGAAAGAGGGAACGAAAAAACUUGUAGCUAUUUCUUUUUGGAGAUACGUGUUAGCUUUCUAUAGUUCUGUCAAAACUCCCAUUAGCUGACCAGGAUAGUUGCUUUUUUUAUCCUGAAAAUCAAUCCAUACAAAAUGUUUCUGAAACUCAUGUCAUUAAGUUCUACAUUUUCUGAGUUUAGAGUUGGUGUAAAAUAAGGGAUGACGUGGUGUUUGUAUCAUAAUUGUUUAUGAUACCGACAUAAAUUGUUAGGAGGUUUGGAUUUCUAAUAUCUGAAAAUAUCUUUGUACCAAGAUGUGUUAUUGGUAAUGGUGACUUGGGAAUUCCAAAUGCUUCCCGUUGUUUCCCAUCCCGAGUCAAGUAAGGAAGACUACUUAUUUUUAAAAUAUGGUCUUACGGAGUACAUUGGUAGUUUCAGCAGAGCGUAAUUCAGGCCUUGGGUUCAUGUUAUGCAACUUUUUCUUGGAAAUUCCGCUGUAAACCUUAAUCUUGUAUCCUUAUUGGUUCAGAUUUGAUGAUUUUGGAUAUUGUCUAUGUUCAAAUGAGAUUGAUUUGACUUCGGUGUAUAAUGGUGCAUUUUUUUAAAUGGUCA